Molecule: microRNA precursor, 147 nt
Filed under: Gossypium hirsutum (cotton)
Lineage: Eukaryota; Viridiplantae; Streptophyta; Magnoliopsida; Malvales; Malvaceae
Description: MIR7502 microRNA precursor family
Rfam family: MIR7502 microRNA precursor family
Source: Rfam by way of RNAcentral
ACUUGAAAAUUUCAUCUAUUUGUACUUUUAAAAACCAGUAUGGUUGACAAAAUAAUGAGAUAGUGACACACAAUGUGUCAUGUAUACCUAAUACUAAUGUAUACAUGGAUCAAUUUUUAACAACAAUAAUAAAUAAAAAUUUUAACA